RNAcentral lists this ribosomal RNA (465 nucleotides) under uncultured Klebsiella sp. Its description in RNAcentral is "bacterial SSU rRNA". It matches the Rfam family "Bacterial small subunit ribosomal RNA", at positions 338 to 795 of the family's 1533-position model. The record is from RNAcentral. Lineage: Bacteria; Pseudomonadati; Pseudomonadota; Gammaproteobacteria; Enterobacterales; Enterobacteriaceae.
CCUACGGGUGGCAGCAGUGGGGAAUAUUGCACAAUGGGCGCAAGCCUGAUGCAGCCAUGCCGCGUGUGUGAAGAAGGCCUUCGGGUUGUAAAGCACUUUCAGCGGGGAGGAAGGCGGUGAGGUUAAUAACCUCAUCGAUUGACGUUACCCGCAGAAGAAGCACCGGCUAACUCCGUGCCAGCAGCCGCGGUAAUACGGAGGGUGCAAGCGUUAAUCGGAAUUACUGGGCGUAAAGCGCACGCAGGCGGUCUGUCAAGUCGGAUGUGAAAUCCCCGGGCUCAACCUGGGAACUGCAUUCGAAACUGGCAGGCUAGAGUCUUGUAGAGGGGGGUAGAAUUCCAGGUGUAGCGGUGAAAUGCGUAGAGAUCUGGAGGAAUACCGGUGGCGAAGGCGGCCCCCUGGACAAAGACUGACGCUCAGGUGCGAAAGCGCGGGGAGCAAACAGGAUUAGAUACCCGGGUAGUC